UAAUUGAAGAGUUUGAUCAUGGCUCAGAUUGAACGCUGGCGGCAGGCCUAACACAUGCAAGUCGAGCGGCAGCACAGAGGAACUUGUUCCUUGGGUGGCGAGCGGCGGACGGGUGAGUAAUGCCUGGGAAAUUGCCCGGUAGAGGGGGAUAACCAUUGGAAACGAUGGCUAAUACCGCAUAACCUCGCAAGAGCAAAGCAGGGGACCUUCGGGCCUUGCGCUACCGGAUAUGCCCAGGUGGGAUUAG
Molecule: ribosomal RNA, 247 nt
Filed under: Vibrio cholerae
Lineage: Bacteria; Pseudomonadati; Pseudomonadota; Gammaproteobacteria; Vibrionales; Vibrionaceae
Description: partial 16S ribosomal RNA
Rfam family: Bacterial small subunit ribosomal RNA
Source: RNAcentral